Molecule: ribosomal RNA, 253 nt
Filed under: uncultured bacterium
Lineage: Bacteria
Description: partial 16S ribosomal RNA
Rfam family: Bacterial small subunit ribosomal RNA
Source: RNAcentral
UACAGAGGGUGCAAGCGUUGUCCGGAAUCAUUGGGCGUAAAGAGCGUGUAGGCGGCCACUUAAGUCCUGCGUGAAAUCUUGCGGCUCAACCGCAAGCGGUCGUGGGAAACUGGGUGGCUAGAGUGCGGGAGAGGAGAGUGGAAUUCCUGGUGUAGCGGUGGAAUGCGCAGAUAUCAGGAGGAACACCAAUAGCGAAGGCAGCUCGCUGGGACGUUACUGACACUGAGGCGCGAAAGCGUGGGGAGCGAACAGG